Long non-coding RNA from Clarias gariepinus (North African catfish), 577 nucleotides. RefSeq lists it as uncharacterized. Lineage: Eukaryota; Metazoa; Chordata; Actinopteri; Siluriformes; Clariidae. The transcript is spliced from 3 exons. The record is from RefSeq and is a predicted model, not a curated record.
AAACCAAUUGGCAAAAAACCCUCCACAAAGUGUCAUAUCUAAGUAAAUGUUGGGGAUAGCCAGAAAGACGCAGAGCCAUGAUGUAUGCCAGUGCCUUCCCUUUCUUUUCCUUUCUUUAAUUCUCCAGUGAUCUUUAAUCGACUGGGUAAAGAGGACUGGGGAGAAUAUUUUCAUAAGCUACAAUGGGGAAAACUGCAGUUCCUAAGCACGGUGCUCGAGUGUAUGAAGUUUGGGGAAGGCUCGGUGCUAGAGGGAGCUAUCGAUCAGGAGAAAUGCCUCCCGCGACAGAUCCGCGCGCCGCCUGCACGCAUGCUCAAUACGCCGUGUCUUAAGCAGCGGGCUAAAUAGUAUGCCAAAAUAGGACGCCUCCACAGGGAGAAAAACGCGAGCCGCGGACCAGCUGUCAAUCACUGUGGAGAAGCGCUGGUGUGAAGAACAGCCUAAACUUGCAGCAUGGCCAAACUGAUUACUGGUGAGGCACGACUCAGGCACGAGCAUAGCAAUAUAUCACCCAGCGCACUGCUUACCCAUAAUACACUACUGUGUUCUGCUCUGCACGCUUGGCACUGUUGGAAUA